UACAGAGGUCUCAAGCGUUGUUCGGAUUCAUUGGGCGUAAAGGGUGUGUAGGUGGCGCGCUAAGUCGGGUGUGAAAUUUCGGAGCUUAACUCCGAAACUGCAUUCGAUACUGGCGUGCUUGAGGACUGGAGAGGAGACUGGAAUUUACGGUGUAGCAGUGAAAUGCGUAGAUAUCGUAAGGAAGACCAGUGGCGAAGGCGGGUCUCUGGACAGUUCCUGACGCUGAGGCACGAAAGCCAGGGGAGCAAACGGG
RNAcentral lists this ribosomal RNA (253 nucleotides) under uncultured bacterium. RNAcentral's name for it is "partial 16S ribosomal RNA". It matches the Rfam family "Bacterial small subunit ribosomal RNA", at positions 524 to 776 of the family's 1533-position model. The record is from RNAcentral.